GCUAAUGUGUCUUGGCUUAUGUGUCUUGGCUAAUGUGUCUUGGCUAAGGUGUCUUGGCUAAGGUGUCUUGGCUAAGGUGUCUUGACUAAGGUGUCUUGGCUAAUGUGUCUCGGCUAAGGUGUCUUGGUUAUUGUGUCUUGGCUAAUGUGUCUUGGCUAAGGUGUCUUGGCUAAGUGUCUUGGCUAAGGUGUCUUGGCUAAUGUGUCUCGGCUAAAGUGUCUUGGCUAAGGUGUCUUGGCUAAGGUGUCUUGGCUAAAGUGUCUUGGCUAAGGUGUCUUGGCUAAGGUGUCUUGGCUAAUGUGUCUCGGCUAAAGUGUCUUGGCUAAGGUGUAUUGGCUAAGGUGUCUUGGCUAAGGUGUCUUGGCUAAUGUGUCUCGGCUAAGGUGUUUUGGCUAAGGUGUCGUGGCUAAGGUGUCUUGGCUAAGGUGUCUUGGCUAAUGUGUCUCGGCUAAAGUGUCUUGGCUAAUGUGUCUUGGCUAAGGUGUCUUGGCUAAGGUGUCUUGGCUAAUGUGUCUCGGCUAAAGUGUCUUGGCUAAGGUGUCUUGGCUAAGGUGUCUUGGCUAAGGUGUCUUGGCUAAGGUGUCUUGGCUAAGGUGUCUUGGCUAAGGUGUCUUGGCUAA
Molecule: long non-coding RNA, 620 nt
Organism: Anopheles funestus (African malaria mosquito)
Lineage: Eukaryota; Metazoa; Arthropoda; Insecta; Diptera; Culicidae
Exons: 4
Source: RefSeq, a predicted model, not a curated record